AAAUGAUUAAAAAACAAAUCAUUUUAAAUACUUUUUAAUCAUUUUUUUUAAUCAGGGCUCUUGGCAAUCGGUUGAAUGAUUGAGGAGGUUUGAUGUUCUUCAUAAACUUAUUUAUUUCUGAACUGAAUUUUUUUAUAUUCCAAGCUCCUGGUUUAUUCAAUAACAAAUUGGUGUAUUGCUUAACAACUCCAAGAAGCACUGAGUGCAUAUAUUCAGGUAAAACAAAGGAUCCAAGAUCUAGUAAUGGUAGAGUUGAUAGUAUAGAAAUUGACUUUAUGUAGACACCAAUUAACUUAAGAUGGUAUUACUGAAAGAUAAUAUUUAUUGCAAAAAAACUGCUUUUGACGAUGCAAUGGAUUUUAGCAGAAAAUCUGCAACUUCAGUCUUACGACGUCUGGCGGAGGGCGUAUUUAAGCGUGAUGCGAUUUUAAAAUGUACUUUCAGCGGACGACCUCCUUCUGCUCAAGGCAAAGAUAAACAGGCAGAGCAAGUAGAUGCAUUAGACAGAACUGCAAGAACAGUAGUGAAAGAAUAUUGCGAAAAUUAUGCAAUUCGUCAAGGCUGGCCGCGCUCAAAGAAAAAUGAACUACGUGCUGCAAUGUCUCAAUGGCUUGGGGAAUUGAAAAGAGCAGAAAAAAAAAUGCUGAACUAAAUAAGUAACUCUAAUGAUCUUGUACAAAAGGUCACUUUUCUUUCAGCCUAUACAUUUUGUUAAUUUUUUUUUUUUGAUAUUUGUGACAUUACCUAAAGCAUAAUUACUUAUUUUCAAAAAUCUUUAAGGUCUUUACUAUGUAUAAGCAUUCUGAUUAUCAGUCAUUGAUUUAAGUGUUUAAUCUCCCAUUUGUUAUUGAUAAAAAAGUGCAAUAUUGGGAUAGAUAAGACUAUAGUUGCAUUAAUAAGUUUACUUGUAAGUUUAAUUAAAAAGCAAAAUAUUUUACGUCUAGUCUUUACCUUAUAAAUAAAAAUAUAUGAGUG
Microplitis mediator is the source of this 975-nucleotide RNA transcript. RefSeq lists it as uncharacterized. NCBI's taxonomy places the organism in Eukaryota, Metazoa, Arthropoda, Insecta, Hymenoptera, Braconidae. The record is from RefSeq and is a predicted model, not a curated record. The transcript is spliced from 3 exons.